Molecule: long non-coding RNA, 244 nt
Filed under: Lathyrus oleraceus (garden pea)
Lineage: Eukaryota; Viridiplantae; Streptophyta; Magnoliopsida; Fabales; Fabaceae
Description: Pisum sativum (pea) long non-coding RNA (PSAT_LNC036123)
Source: RNAcentral
ACAUGGCUGUUAAGGCCAAUGAAAUAGAAAUGUUUGAUAUGUGUGAUCGAAUCAAUGUUGGACCACAGUCCGUCAAAGAGCCGCAGUCAGCAGGUUCAGAAAGGGAAGAUAUUAUUUCAAGGUUGGAUUUUUGGCUAACUGGCUAAAAAACAAAAAAUAAAACUGCCUUUAUCAUAUCAGUGUGCACAAGUAAACAACAACAUCAACAAGAGUCAAUUCAAGUUCUAGAGACUAACAGACAUGA